This 372-nucleotide ribosomal RNA is filed under the name uncultured organism. Its description in RNAcentral is "bacterial SSU rRNA". It matches the Rfam family "Bacterial small subunit ribosomal RNA", at positions 526 to 896 of the family's 1533-position model. The record is from RNAcentral.
CGUAGGAGGCGAGCGUUAUCCGGAUUCACUGGGCGUAAAGCGCGUGCAGGUGGCUUGGUAAGUUAGGCGUGAAAUCUCCCGGCUCAACUGGGAGAGGUCGUCUAAUACUACCGGGCUUGAGAGCAGAAGAGGAAGAUGGAAUUCCCGGUGUAGUGGUGAAAUGCGUAGAUAUCGGGAGGAACACCAGUGGCGAAGGCGAUCUUCUGGUCUGUUUCUGACACUCAGACGCGACAGCUAGGGUAGUAAACGGGAUUAGAGACCCCGGUAAUCCUAGCCGUAAACGAUGUAAACUUGGCGUUGGUGGGUUAAACUCCAUCAGUGCCGCAGCAAACGCGAUAAGUUUACCGCCUGGGGACUACGGCCGCAAGGUUA